RNAcentral lists this ribosomal RNA (2267 nucleotides) under human gut metagenome. Its description in RNAcentral is "bacterial LSU rRNA". It matches the Rfam family "Bacterial large subunit ribosomal RNA", at positions 14 to 2317 of the family's 2925-position model. The record is from RNAcentral.
AGAGCGCAGGGUGGAUGCCUUGGCACUAAGAGCCGAUGAAAGACGUGAUAAGCUGCGAAAAGCUUCGGGGAGGAGCAAAUAUCCUUUGAUCCGGAGAUCUCUGAAUGGGGAAACCUACUUGAGUGCACCUCAAGUGACGUAUGGUGAAUACAUAGCCAUACGCCGGGAACCCGGUGAACUGAAACAUCUAAGUAGCCGGAGGAAGAGAAAGAAACAUCGAUUCCGAAAGUAGCGGCGAGCGAAAUUGGAAGAGCCCAAACCGGAAUGCGUGCAUUCCGGGGUUAAGGACCACGUUAUGUGACCCGUAUGGUAAUGGAACAGUCUGGGAAGUCAGACCAGAGAGGGUGAAAGUCCCGUACAUGAAACCAGAAGGGAGCUAGUGGGAUCCAGAGUACUGCGAGACACGUGGAACCUUGCAGGAAGUCGGGGGGACCACCCCCCAAGGCUAAAUACUCCUUAGUGACCGAUAGCGCAUAGUACUGUGAAGGAAAGGUGAAAAGGACCCCGGGAGGGGAGUGAAAGAGAACCUGAAACCCUGUGUUUACAAGCUGUGGAAGCACGUUAAGGUGCGACCGCGUACUUUUUGUAGAACGGUCCGGCGAGUUGCGGAUGCUGGCAAGGUUAAGCACUUUAGGUGCGGAGCCGAAGCGAGAGCAAGUCUGAAUAGGGCGUCAAGUCAGCAUGUGCAGACCCGAAACCGGGUGAUCUAUCCAUGUCCAGGUUGAAGCGAAAGUAAAAUUUCGUGGAGGACCGAACGCACAUCCGUUGAAAAGGGUGGCGAUGAGGUGUGGAUAGGGGAGAAAUUCCAAUCGAACCCGGAGAUAGCUGGUUCUCCUCGAAAUAGCUUUAGGGCUAGCCUCAUACAAGUCUUGCGGAGGUAGAGCACUGAAUUCCUAAGGGGGCGUCAAAGCUUACCAAGGGAUAUCAAACUCCGAAUGCCGCAUAAAUGAUGUACGGGAGUCAGACUGCACGAGAUAAGUUGGGUAGUCAAAAGGGAAAGAGCCCAGACCUACAGCUAAGGUCCCAAAGUGUGUGUUAAGUGGAAAAGGAUGUGGGAUUUCGAAGACAACUAGGAUGUUGGCUCAGAAGCAGCCAUACAUUCAAAGAGUGCGUAAUAGCUCACUAGUCGAGAGGUCCUGCGCCGAAAAUGUCCGGGGCUGAAACACAACACCGAAGCUCAGGAAUGUAUUUAUACAUUGGUAGAGGAGCAUUCUUAAAGGGGCGAAGCAGUACCGAUAAGGAGCUGUGGACUUUUAAGAAGAGAGAAUGCCGGAAUGAGUAGCGAGAUGGAGGUGGGAAUCCUCCAGGCCGAAUAUCUAAGGUUUCCAGGGUAAAGCUGAUCUGCCCUGGGUAAGUCGGGGCCUAAGGCAAGGCUGAGAAGCGUAGCUGAUGGACAACAGGUUUAGAUUCCUGUACCACAUGGUAUCAGAACUGUGGGGACGCAGAGGGAUAAGAUGACCGGGGAACAGAACCCUGGGCAAGCGUAGGAGGUGUCAGGCAGGCAAAUCCGUCUGACAAGCCAAAGGCGUGACGCGGACCGAACUAAAGUAGGGAAGCAUCCGAUUCCAGCUGCCGAGAAAAGCCGCUAUUGUGUACCAUGUGCCCGUACCGUAAACCGACACAGGUGGAUGAGGAGAGAAUCCUAAGGCCGGCGGGAGAAGCAUUGUUAAGGAACUCGGCAAAAUGACCCCGUAACUUCGGGAUAAGGGGUGCCAGAGAGAUCUGGCCGCAGAGAAUAGGCUCAAGCAACUGUUUAGCAAAAACACAGGUCUAUGCGAAACCGAAAGGUGAGGUAUAUGGGCUGACGCCUGCCCGGUGCUGGAAGGUUAAGAGGAGAGGUUAGAGCAAUCGAAGCUUUGAAUUGAAGCCCCAGUAAACGGCGGCCGUAACUAUAACGGUCCUAAGGUAGCGAAAUUCCUUGUCGGGUAAGUUCCGACCCGCACGAAAGGCGUAAUGAUUUGAGCGCUGUCUCGACAAUGCACCCGGUGAAAUUGAAAUACCAGUGAAGAUGCUGGUUACCUGCGCCAGGACGGAAAGACCCCAUGGAGCUUUACUCCAGCUUGAUACUGGGAUUCGAUAUUGCAUGUACAGGAUAGGUGGGAGACUGAGAACUGAUGACGCCAGUUGUCAGGGAGUCACUGUUGGGAUACCACCCUUGUAGUAUUGGAUUUCUAACCAGCAGCCGUGAUCCGGCUGGGGGACAAUGUCAGGUGGGGAGUUUGACUGGGGCGGUCGCCUCCGAAAGGGUAUCGGAGGCGCUCAAAGGU